UCUCCGUUGGUGAGCCAGCGGAGGGAUCAUUACAGGACUCGCAAGACUCCUACAACCCUGUGAACUUAACUAUAAGCACGUUGCUUCGGCGGGUGUCUCGGAGGGGGUUCUCCCUCCCCGAGACGCUAAACCCGCCGGCAGCCUACUAUACUCUGUCUCUUUGCGUUGGCAUCUCGAGUACAAUCAAACAAGUUAAAACUUUCAACAACGGAUCUCUUGGUUCUG
RNAcentral lists this unclassified non-coding RNA (225 nucleotides) under plant metagenome. RNAcentral describes it as "partial contains small subunit ribosomal RNA, internal transcribed spacer 1, and 5.8S ribosomal RNA". The record is from RNAcentral.